CAGCAUUUCCCUUGAGCGGAAUUAUCGUUUGUACAGAGCCUUUUCCAAAUGUUUGUGUUCCAACGAUGACCGCUCUUUUCAAGUCCUGUAGCGCCCCAGCAACGAUCUCAGAAGCUGAUGCAGACCCAUGGUUUACUAGAACUACCAUGGGAUAACUACUAUUUCCUGUUUCACCUCUAGCUGUAAACUCCAUAUUCUGGCUUGGUGAACGACCCCUCGUGUAUACAAUCAGCUCCCCUUUUUUUAAAAAUAUUUCAGAAACAGCAACGGCCUGAUUUAGCAGACCUCCAGGAUCAUUUCGUAA
RNAcentral lists this non-coding RNA (304 nucleotides) under marine eukaryotic metagenome. The record is from RNAcentral.